GAUGAACGCUGGCGGCGUGCCUAAUACAUGCAAGUCGAGCGAACGGACGAGAAUCUUGCUUCUCUGAUGUUAGCGGCGGACGGGUGAGUAACACGUGUAUAACCUACCUAUAAGACUGGGAUAACUUCGGGAAACCGGAGCUAAUACCGGAUAAUAUUUUGAACCGCAUGGUUCAUAAGUGAAAGGCGGUCUUGCUGUCACUUAUAGAUGGAUCCGCGCUGCAUUAGCUAGUUGGUAAGGUAACGGCUUACCAAGGCAACGAUGCAUAGCCGACCUGAGAGGGUGAUCGGCCACACUGGAACUGAGACACGGUCCAGACUCCUACGGGAGGCAGCAGUAGGGAAUCUUCCGCAAUGGGCGAAAGCCUGACGGAGCAACGCCGCGUGAGUGAUGAAGGUCUUCGGAUCGUAAAACACUGUUAGUAGGGAAGAACAUAUGUGUAAGUAACUGUGCACAUCUUGACGGUACCUAAACAGAAAGCCACGGCUAACUACGUG
Molecule: ribosomal RNA, 497 nt
Filed under: uncultured bacterium
Lineage: Bacteria
Description: partial 16S ribosomal RNA
Rfam family: Bacterial small subunit ribosomal RNA
Source: RNAcentral